CCGACCUUAGCUCAGUUGGUAGAGCGGAGGACUGUAGUGGGUGUAGAACCUGAUAGCCAUCCUUAGGUCGCUGGUUCGAAUCCGGCAGGUCGGA
This is a non-coding RNA of Vigna radiata var. radiata (mung bean), 94 nucleotides long. The record is from Rfam. NCBI's taxonomy places the organism in Eukaryota, Viridiplantae, Streptophyta, Magnoliopsida, Fabales, Fabaceae.